AGAGUGAGGCGGAAGGCUUCCGGGUUUUGCGGGGCCUUUGUCUCUGAAGCCGGAGCUCCAGGUUUUGUCUUCACUGCUGUGUGUCCUCUGCUCCUAGAGGCCCAGCCUCUGUGACCCUGUGUCCUGCAGGUAUUGGGAGAUCCACAGCUAAGACGCCCGGGAGCCCCUGGAAGCCUAGAAAUGGGACCAUUGCAAUUUAGAGACGUGGCCAUAGAAUUCUCUCUGGAGGAGUGGCAUUGCCUGGACACUGCACAGCGGAAUUUAUAUAGGAAUGUGAUGUUAGAGAACUACAGAAACCUGGUCUUCCUUGGUAUUGUUGUCUCUAAGCCAGACCUCAUCACCUGUCUGGAGCAAGGAAAAAAACCUUUGACCAUGAAGAAACAUGAGAUGGUAGCCAACCCCUCAGUUACGUGUUCUCAUUUUGCCCGAGAUCUUUGGCCAGAGCAGAGCAUAAAAGAUUCUUUCCAAAAAGUGACACUGAGAAGAUAUGAAAACUAUGGACAUGACAAUUUACAGUUUAAAAAGGGCUGUGAAAGUGUAGAUGAGUGUAAGGUGCACAAAAGAGGUUAUAAUGGACUUAACCAAUAUUUGACAACUACUCAAAGCAAAAUAUUUCAGUGUGAUAAAUAUGUGAAAGUCAUUCAUAAAUUUUCAAAUUCAAACAGACAUAAGAUAAGACAUACUGGAAAAAACCCUUUCAAAUGUAUAGAAUGUGGCAAAGCUUUUAACCAGUCUUCAACCCUUACUACACAUAAGAAAAUUCAUACUGGGGAGAAACCCUUCAAAUGUGAAGAAUGUGGCAAAGCCUUCAACUGGUCCUCACACCUUACUACACAUAAGAUAAUUCAUACUGGAGAGAAACGGUACAAAUGUGAAGACUGUGGCAAAGCCUUUAGCCGGUUUUCAUACCUUACUGCACAUAAGAUAAUUCAUAGUGGAGAGAAACCCUACAAAUGUGAAGAAUGUGGCAAGGCCUUUAAGCGCUCCUCUAACCUUACUACACAUAAGAUAAUUCAUACUGGAGAGAAACCCUACAAAUGUGAAGAAUGUGGCAAGGCCUUUAAGCGCUCCUCUAUCCUUACUGCGCAUAAGAUAAUUCAUAGCGGAGAGAAACCCUACAAAUGUGAAGAAUGUGGCAAAGCCUUUAAGCACCCCUCUGUCCUUACUACACAUAAAAGAAUUCAUACUGGAGAGAAACCCUACAAAUGUGAAGAAUGUGGCAGAGCCUUUAAGUACUUCUCAUCCCUUACUACACAUAAGAUAAUUCAUAGUGGAGAGAAACCCUACAAAUGUGAAGAAUGUGGCAAAGCCUUCAACUGGUCCUCACACCUUACUACACAUAAGAGAAUUCAUACUGGAGAGAAACCCUACAAAUGUGAAGAAUGUGGCGAAGCCUUUAAGUACUCCUCUUCCCUUACUACACAUAAGAUAAUCCAUACUGGACAGCAACCCUUCAAGUGUGAAGAAUGUGGUAAGGCCUUUAAGUGCUUCUCUAUCCUUACUACACAUAAGAGAAUUCAUACUGGAGAGAAACCCUACAAAUGUGAAGAAUGUGGCAAAGCCUUCAACUCGUCCUCACACCUUACUGCACAUAAGAGAAUUCAUACUGGAGAGAAACCCUACAAAUGUGAACGAUGUGGCAAGGCUUUUAAGCGCUCCUUUAUCCUUACUAGACAUAAGAGAAUUCAUACUGGAGAGAAACCCUACAAAUGUGAAGAAUGUGGCAAAGGCUUUAAGUGCCCCUCUACCCUUACUACACAUAAGAAAGCAGUUUUGCCACGAGUACACUGAACAGAGGAGACAGAGUCAUUUAUAACUUGACGUGUCCACCCUACUGCUGUGUCCGGUUUUCAUUGGCUGGAAUGGGACCUCACAUUCUGUAUUUGUCCCAAUUGUUUAGCAACUUAGAACUUUUUAAAAGAGACAAAGGCAGAGGAGAACAAAGGAAGGAGGAAGUAACUUGUGGAUGCUGAGAAAGUUUUUUGCUUAUUGCAGAGAAGUGGCUGUCCUACCAGAAAACUGCUACUCUCAUCUGUAUCCACACUGAAUAAUAGUGAAUGGAAGUGAAGCGGAUAAAAGGUAAAUGUGUCUUCUCUGUAUCUUUUUUCAUCCAUUGGCUGAAGAACAGGAAAAUGUGGAAAAUAAAAGAAAAUAUAACCCCUGAGAAAUCAUGAAGAAGCUCUCUUAACCGGACAAAAAACCUUAUAGGGGAUUUUUUGUUUGUUUUAUUAUUGUACCGUCUGCUUCUAUGAGUUUAAUUUUUUUUUUUUUUACACUUUACAUAGAAAUAGGAUUAUGUGGGCUGGGCACAGGGGCUGAUGCCUGUAAUCCCAACACUUGGAGGGGCUGAGGUGGGUGGAUCAAUUGAGGUCAGGAGUUUGAGACUAGCCUGGCCAACAUGGGGGAAAUCCUAUCUCUACCAAAAAUAUAAAAAUUUGCUGGGUGUGGUGGCACAUGCCUGUAAUCCCAGGUCCUGAGGAGGCUGAGGCAGGAGGAUCUCUUGAACCUGGGAGCUGGAGGUUGCAGUGAGUGGAGAUGGUGCCACUGCACUCCAGCUUGGGUGACAAAAGCAAAACUCCAUCUCAAAAAAAAAAACCAGGAUUUUGUUUUUUUUCUGUGCUGACUUAUUUUACUUAAUAUAAUAUCUUUCAGGUUCAUGAAUGUUGUUGCAAAUAACAAGACUUUCUUAUUUUUAAGGGCUGAAUAGCAUUUCAUUGUGUAUAUAUACCAUAUUUUCUUUCUCCAUUCACCUAUUGGUGAACACUUAGGUUGAUUUCAUACCUUAGCUAUUGUGAGUAAUCAACUUCCUUCCUUCUCUUUUAUUUUGUUGUUGUUUUGUUUUGUUUGAGAUGGAGUCUCAUUCUGUCACCCAAGCUGCUGGAGUGCAGUGGUGCAAUCUCAGCUCACUGUAAACUCUGCCUACCAGGUUCAAGUGAUUCUCAUGCCUAAGCCUCCUGAGUAGCUGAGAUUACAAGUGUGUGCCACCACACCAGGCUAAUUUUUGUAUUUUUAGUAGAGGCAGGCUUUCACCAUGUUGACCAGGCUGCUUUUCAUUUGUUUGUAUAUUUCUUUCUUCCUUUCCUUCUUUAUUUCUAGAAGUAUUUUAAUUUUAAUAUAUAAAUUAUGACUGGUAAAAACCUUCAUUUCUCUGUCUUUGCUUACUGUUAUGGCUGAUUAAAAAAUAAGUUUUCAAAAUUUCCUGGAUAAAGGUUAUUACUUUAUUGUUAACAUAACUUGAGACAAUAUAGAAAUGAAAAUAAACAUUUAUUAGU
RNA transcript from Pan troglodytes (chimpanzee), 3272 nucleotides. It is a transcript of the gene named zinc finger protein 737, with no coding region annotated. The record is from RefSeq and is a predicted model, not a curated record. The transcript has 6 exons. NCBI's taxonomy places the organism in Eukaryota, Metazoa, Chordata, Mammalia, Primates, Hominidae.